RNAcentral lists this ribosomal RNA (274 nucleotides) under uncultured bacterium. RNAcentral's name for it is "partial 16S ribosomal RNA". It matches the Rfam family "Bacterial small subunit ribosomal RNA", at positions 523 to 796 of the family's 1533-position model. The record is from RNAcentral.
AUACGAAGGGGGCAAGCGUUGUUCGGAAUAACUGGGCGUAAAGCGCACGUAGGCGGAAUGUUAAGUUAGAGGUGAAAUCCCAGGGCUCAACCCUGGAACUGCCUUGAAUACUGGCAAUCUAGAGACCGAGAGAGGUGAGUGGAAUUCCGAGUGUAGAGGUGAAAUUCGUAGAUAUUCGGAGGAACACCAGUGGCGAAGGCGGCUCACUGGCUCGGUACUGACGCUGAGGUGCGAAAGCGUGGGGAGCAAACAGGAUUAGAAACCCGAGUAGUCC